AUUGAACGCUGGCGGCAUGCCUUACACAUGCAAGUCGAACGGUAACAGGUCUUCGGAUGCUGACGAGUGGCGAACGGGUGAGUAAUACAUCGGAACGUGCCUAGGAGUGGGGGAUAACUACUCGAAAGAGUGGCUAAUACCGAAUGAGAACUACUGAUGAAAGCAGGGGAUCGCAAGAACUCGUGCUACUAGAGCGGCCGAUGGCCGAUUAGGUAGUUGGUGGGAUAAAAGCUUACCAAGCCGACGAUCUGUAGCUGGUCUGAGAGGACGAUCAGCCACACUGGGACUGAGACACGGCCCAGACUCCUACGGGAGGCAGCAGUGGGGAAUUUUGGACAAUGGGCGAAAGCCUGAUCCAGCAAUGCCGCGUGCAGGAUGAAGGCCUUCGGGUUGUAAACUGCUUUUGUACGGAACGAAAAGCCCCGGGUUAAUACCCUGGGGUCAUGACGGUACCGUAAGAAUAAGCACCGUCUAACUACGUGCCAGCAGCCGCCGUAA
RNAcentral lists this ribosomal RNA (498 nucleotides) under uncultured bacterium. Its description in RNAcentral is "partial 16S ribosomal RNA". It matches the Rfam family "Bacterial small subunit ribosomal RNA", at positions 30 to 523 of the family's 1533-position model. The record is from RNAcentral.